CCCCAGACUCCUACGGGAGGCAGCAGUGGGGGAUAUUGCACAAUGGGGGAAACCCUGAUGCAGCGACGCCGCGUGGGUGAAGAAGCGCCUCGGCGCGUAAAGCCCUGUCAGCAGGGAAGAAAAUGACGGUACCUGAAGAAGAAGCCCCGGCUAACUACGUGCCAGCAGCCGCGGUAAUACGUAGGGGGCAAGCGUUAUCCGGAUUUACUGGGUGUAAAGGGAGCGUAGACGGCAUGGCAAGUCAGAUGUGAAAGCCCGGGGCUCAGCCCCGGGACUGCUCUGGGAACUGUGCGGCUGGAGUGCGGGAGGGGCAGGCGGAAUUCCUGGUGUAGCGGUGAAAUGCGUAGAUAUCAGGAGGAACACCGGCGGCGAAGGCGGCCUGCUGGACCGCGACUGACGUUGAGGCUCGAAAGCGUGGGGAGCAAACAGGAUUAGAUACCCCAGUACAC
Molecule: ribosomal RNA, 449 nt
Filed under: uncultured bacterium
Lineage: Bacteria
Description: bacterial SSU rRNA
Rfam family: Bacterial small subunit ribosomal RNA
Source: RNAcentral